Molecule: ribosomal RNA, 519 nt
Filed under: Arthroleptis xenodactyloides (Chirinda screeching frog)
Lineage: Eukaryota; Metazoa; Chordata; Amphibia; Anura; Arthroleptidae
Description: partial large subunit ribosomal RNA
Rfam family: Bacterial large subunit ribosomal RNA
Source: RNAcentral
AUUAUUUCCGGCCGCGGUACCCUAACCGUGCAAAGGUAGCACAAUCACUUGUUCUUUAAAUAAGGACUAGUAUGAACGGCACCACGAAGACCAUGCUGUCUCCUUUUUCUAAUCAGUGAAACUGAUCUCCCCGUGAAGAAGCGGGGAUUAUUUUAUAAGACGAGAAGACCCUAUGAAGCUUAAAAUUUUCAUCAACUGCCCCCCAUACACCACCUUAACCUGGCAGACCUGAUUACUAAUUUUUGGUUGGGGUGACCGCGGAGCAAAAUUAAACCUCCACAAUGAAAGGAUUAAACCCCUUAUUCAAGAAUCACACUUCUAUAAAUCAAUAUAUUGACAUAAAUUGAUCCAAACCUUUGAUCAAUGAACCAAGUUACUCUAGGGAUAACAGCGCAAUCCAUUUCAAGAGCCCCUAUCGACAAAUGGGUUUACGACCUCGAUGUUGGAUCAGGGUGUCCUAGUGGUGCAACCGCUACUAAAGGUUCGUUUGUUCAACGAUUAAAACCCUACGUGAUCUGA